GUUGAGAGUGGCGAACGGGUGCGUAACGCGUAUGCAACCUACCCUAUACAGGGGGAUAGCCCGGAGAAAUCUGGAUUAAUACCCCAUGGUAUCAUUGAGCUGCAUGGUUUAAUGAUUAAAGAUUCAUCGGUAUAGGAUGGGCAUGCGUCUGAUUAGCUAGUUGGCGGUGUAACGGACCACCAAGGCGACGAUCAGUAGGGGUUCUGAGAGGAAGGUCCCCCACACUGGCACUGAGAUACGGGCCAGACUCCUACGGGAGGCAGCAGUAGGGAAUAUUGGGCAAUGGACGAGAGUCUGACCCAGCCAUGCCGCGUGCAGGAAGACGGCGUUCUGCGUUGUAAACUGCUUUUAUCUGGGAAGAAAAUGCCCUUGCGAGGGAAAUUGCCGGUACCAGAUGAAUAAGCACCGGCUAACUCCGUGCCAGCAGCCGCGGUAAUACGGAGGGUGCAAGCGUUGUCCGGAUUUAUUGGGUUUAAAGGGUGCGUAGGCGGCUAUUUAAGUCAGUGGUGAAAGACUCCGGCUCAACCGGAGCAGUGCCAUUGAUACUGGAUAGCUUGAGUAUUGGAGGGGUACAUGGAAUUGAUGGUGUAGCGGUGAAAUGCAUAGAUACCAUCAGGAACACCGAUAGCGAAGGCAUUGUACUGGCCAA
RNAcentral lists this ribosomal RNA (649 nucleotides) under Algoriphagus yeomjeoni. Its description in RNAcentral is "bacterial SSU rRNA". It matches the Rfam family "Bacterial small subunit ribosomal RNA", at positions 88 to 736 of the family's 1533-position model. The record is from RNAcentral. Lineage: Bacteria; Pseudomonadati; Bacteroidota; Cytophagia; Cytophagales; Cyclobacteriaceae.